Long non-coding RNA from Syngnathus typhle (broad-nosed pipefish), 1221 nucleotides. RefSeq lists it as uncharacterized. NCBI's taxonomy places the organism in Eukaryota, Metazoa, Chordata, Actinopteri, Syngnathiformes, Syngnathidae. The record is from RefSeq and is a predicted model, not a curated record. The transcript has 2 exons.
UGGCACCACUUGGUGGACAAAAGAAAGAUGAACAAACUGAAAUGUUUGACAUGUGUCAAACAUUUGGACGCGUGCAUGUUUCACCAGUGAGAAAUGGAGGGCAGCAGUCUCUCCAACCACAGCUCGCUGGUCUGAAAGACACGUUCUGGAACGGAGUGUGGCUGGCGCAGCAGGUGGACCAGAGCAGCGUGGCGCUCGCUGUCAGAGAGUGUAAGAGUGAUCGUUGCGUUCUUGACGCCUUUUAUACUCUUUUUGUGAUGACGUCAUCAAAAGAAGAAAAAUAAAAAGAAAAAAAAACCCUUUCGAACUGCUGAACAGAAAAGUGAGCGAGAAACUGCAAAGAGAAGUUUCAUGGAGGGCUCGGGUCUCGAACCAGCAUUGCAAUCUUCGAAGGCAAAGGUGUCAUCCACUCGACCAUUGCCGGUGCGUUCGAAUGCGGAGAUUUGCUUCUAAUAUCACAAAUCAUGAAGGUAUCAGGUUCAGAGUUAUCCUUCAAAUACUAACAUUCAACCCACUUCUGUAAUAACUCGAAUGGCCGAAUGGUUAAAGCUUUUACCUUUGGUUCAGGAGAGGCUGGUUCGAAUCUUACAUGUCUGCGUAUUUGCAAAAGCUGCAAAGAGCAAGUCUCGAACCCGAGGCUGCUGGACACCGACCCAAGUCGUGAACCAUUCUGCCAUUUUGGCGUUGAAUUUUCAAAGUUUUUUUAAUGUAUUUAUAGCACAUGUCUCAUGAAAUGGAUAAAAUUACCAAAACCGGUUUGUAUUGCAGAGCAGUCCGUGGUGUAGUAGGUAAAGCUUUUGCCUUAUGUUCGGGAGAACCGAGUUCGAGUCUCACACCAUGCAAACUUUAGCUUAAAGAAUGCUAUGUGUUGGGCUCGAACCAUAGUCUCCCGAUCACCGGCUAAAGUUAUAAUCCACUCUGCCAUUUUGGACGUGACAGUCGGUUUUUUUUUUGGGAAGAACAUAGAGGACGUCAGGCCAAAUGAAAAAGAAAAAUUGACAUGUCCAUUAUCCGCUGGGUUACAUACAAGUGAAUGGGGGCACUGCCAUCUUGCGGUAGCUUGCCGUCAUUACAUGAACCGCUUCAUAAACUAUCAAGUCAUGCUCAAGCCAUCUCUUGUUCAAGUGCUUGUCUGUAAAUGACCUUUAAUUAAAAUGGUUCCUUUAAUCCCACGUCAAAUUCCCUGUACUUGGUCAAUAAAGCUGAUUGUGAUUUUCAGAG